Molecule: ribosomal RNA, 266 nt
Filed under: Syngnathus abaster (black-striped pipefish)
Lineage: Eukaryota; Metazoa; Chordata; Actinopteri; Syngnathiformes; Syngnathidae
Description: partial 12S ribosomal RNA
Rfam family: Bacterial small subunit ribosomal RNA
Source: RNAcentral
UUACUCGCGAUCCGCCAGGGAACUACAAGCACUGGCUUGAAACCCAAAGGACUUGGCGGUGCUUUAGACCCACCUAGAGGAGCCUGUUCUAGAACUGAUAACCCCCGUUCAACCUCACCCUGCUUUGCCAUUCCCGCCUAUAUACCGCCGUCGUCAGCUUACCUUGUGAGAGAUUAUAAGUGAGCAAAAUUGGUACAACCCAAAACGUCAGGUCGAGGUGUAGUGUAUAGCAGGGGAAGAAAUGGGCUACAUUUAUCAAUCGAUAA